CAUAUAUCAAAACCGGAAAAUAAAUAACUAAAUGAAAAUAAAAAGGAAAAAGAUGUGUAUAGAAAAUACUUCUCCCUUCACAACCUUCUUGCAGCCACCGUCUUCAUUGAUCAGUAGACAAUAUUCUCUUGGCACAGAUAGAGCAACAUCAAGCAAAGGAAAUUUACAGUCUCGUAGAAACAAAUACAGAAUUAGAAGCAUCAGAAUGUGAUGAUCUGGUUCCAGUAGAUCACAAGUGUAGCAUUGAGCCAAUAACAACUGGAGAUGUUACUGCAGGUUACAGUGGUACAGCAGCAAAUCAUUUUGACAUUAAAGAGAAAUAUAUAUCUGAUGUUUCCUCUGAAUCCGUCACCGAGUCUGCUGUACUUAUGGAUGAAGAAACUGAAAUGGAACUUGAAGAGCCAUCAACGAUCAUCAAGUGAUCAUGCUUUCUGGCUUGAAAGGAAAAAUAAAAUAAAAAUAAAAUAAAUAGAUAAUUAUCACAGAAUCACUUUGAUAAAAAAUUGGCCCUGUUCAAGAAAAGGCCUAUACGUUAUCAAAAGAUACCAACAGGAGCUUUUCCUCAGAAAAUGAAAUUCGAGAACACUUCUAGAAUUUUUGCCCAGUAUACAAUACAACAUCUGAAGGACUAACCUCCUUUUUACUGGCCUAUUUAUAGAACAAUCAGAUUGCAAUUAAAGAUAUGAGUUGCCAAGGUUAUGAUAGUGGUGCCAAUAUGAAAGGAAAACAUAAUAGCUUGCAGCAAAAAACAAAAUACUCAAUGUCAACCUAACAGCCGUUUUUUGUUCCAUGCAGUGCACAUACUCUCGUUUUGUUUGUCAGUGAUGCUACAAAAAAUGCAUACCUGACUGUAGAUUUUUUGUCAUCAUUUAAGAACCAUCCUUUGAUCGUCCCUGAAUAGGGGUGUGGUUCAGGAGUGUGUGUGUGUGCACGCGCGCAUAUGUGCAUAUGUUUUGGAGUGUAUGUCAACAUGCAUUUUCUGUGUGUGUUUCUGAGAGUACAAAUUUGAGAGUAUGAGUCUGUGAGUGCUCAUGUCUGGAAAUAUGGAUUUGUGUGUGUGUUAAU
Molecule: non-coding RNA, 1065 nt
Organism: Pelobates cultripes (western spadefoot toad)
Lineage: Eukaryota; Metazoa; Chordata; Amphibia; Anura; Pelobatidae
Source: the annotation of a GenBank genome assembly